This 560-nucleotide ribosomal RNA is filed under the name Rhodococcus sp. (in: high G+C Gram-positive bacteria). Its description in RNAcentral is "bacterial SSU rRNA". It matches the Rfam family "Bacterial small subunit ribosomal RNA", at positions 74 to 650 of the family's 1533-position model. Lineage: Bacteria; Bacillati; Actinomycetota; Actinomycetes; Mycobacteriales; Nocardiaceae. The record is from RNAcentral.
GGCCUUUCGGGGUACACGAGCGGCGAACGGGUGAGUAACACGUGGGUGAUCUGCCCUGCACUUCGGGAUAAGCCUGGGAAACUGGGUCUAAUACCGGAUAUGACCUCCUAUCGCAUGGUGGGUGGUGGAAAGAUUUAUCGGUGCAGGAUGGGCCCGCGGCCUAUCAGCUUGUUGGUGGGGUAAUGGCCUACCAAGGCGACGACGGGUAGCCGACCUGAGAGGGUGACCGGCCACACUGGGACUGAGACACGGCCCAGACUCCUACGGGAGGCAGCAGUGGGGAAUAUUGCACAAUGGGCGAAAGCCUGAUGCAGCGACGCCGCGUGAGGGAUGACGGCCUUCGGGUUGUAAACCUCUUUCAGCAGGGACGAAGCGCAAGUGACGGUACCUGCAGAAGAAGCACCGGCUAACUACGUGCCAGCAGCCGCGGUAAUACGUAGGGUGCAAGCGUUGUCCGGAAUUACUGGGCGUAAAGAGUUCGUAGGCGGUUUGUCGCGUCGUUUGUGAAAACCAGCAGCUCAACUGCUGGCUUGCAGGCGAUACGGGCAGACUUGAGUACU